UCGGGAAUUUUGGGCAAUGGGCGAAAGCCUGACCCAGCAACGCCGCGUGAAGGAUGAAGUAUUUCGGUACGUAAACUUCGAAAGAAUAGGAAGAAUAAAUGACGGUACUAUUUAUAAGGUCCGGCUAACUACGUGCCAGCAGCCGCGGUAAUACGUAGGGACCAAGCGUUGUUCGGAUUUACUGGGCGUAAAGGGCGCGUAGGCGGCAAUUCAAGUCAUCUGUGAAAUCUCCGGGCUUAACUCGGAACGGUCAGAUGAUACUGCUUUGCUAGAGUGCAGAAGGGGCAAUCGGAAUUCUUGGUGUAGCGGUGAAAUGCGUAGAUAUCAAGAGGAACACCUGAGGUGAAGACGGGUUGCUGGGCUGACACUGACGCUGAGGCGCGAAAGCCAGGGGAGCAAACGGGAUUAGAUACCCGCGUAGUCCCUGAGCGGGCUGGCAAGGCGCAU
RNAcentral lists this ribosomal RNA (447 nucleotides) under uncultured bacterium. Its description in RNAcentral is "bacterial SSU rRNA". It matches the Rfam family "Bacterial small subunit ribosomal RNA", at positions 355 to 825 of the family's 1533-position model. The record is from RNAcentral.